This 228-nucleotide ribosomal RNA is filed under the name uncultured bacterium. RNAcentral's name for it is "partial 16S ribosomal RNA". It matches the Rfam family "Bacterial small subunit ribosomal RNA", at positions 568 to 795 of the family's 1533-position model. The record is from RNAcentral.
UGCGUAGGCGGACUAUUAAGUCAGAGGUGAAAUACUGCCGCUCAACGGUAGAAUUGCCUUUGAUACUGAUAGUCUUGAGUAUAGUUGAGGUAGGCGGAAUGUGUUGUGUAGCGGUGAAAUGCUUAGAUAUAACACAGAACACCGAUUGCGAAGGCAGCUUACUAAACUAUGAUUGACGCUGAGGCACGAAAGCGUGGGGAGCGAACAGGAUUAGAUACCCUGGUAGUC